This 347-nucleotide long non-coding RNA is filed under the name Homo sapiens (human). RNAcentral's name for it is "HSALNT0075798". Lineage: Eukaryota; Metazoa; Chordata; Mammalia; Primates; Hominidae. The record is from RNAcentral.
AGUAUGUUGGCCUCUUAUUGUUGGUUUGUUUCUUUAGCUGCAAAUGUACUUAGGACUCAUGAUUUUUCUGUAACUAGAGUGCCACAAAUAAAAUACGUUUUUCAUUCAGUUGGAUAAACAGGGCAGGAAAGAAGAAAACCCGAUUUUACUAAGGUAAAUGGGCAAAAACUGGAAGAAAGGGGAGUGUGGUUUUGGAGAGGGUCCCGAUGGUAAGAUCCUGAUUGGAAGGUGUGUUGGUUAAACAAUUUCUGAACUAACCGCCAGAUGGCAUCACUGGCCAGGACUGUUUACUACCUGCUAGAAGGGGUAGGGCAAAGUGAAACGAAGCCACUCUAGGGCGAAUGGGG